This 662-nucleotide ribosomal RNA is filed under the name uncultured bacterium. RNAcentral describes it as "bacterial SSU rRNA". It matches the Rfam family "Bacterial small subunit ribosomal RNA", at positions 8 to 661 of the family's 1533-position model. The record is from RNAcentral.
AGGGUUUGAUCAUGGCUCAGAUUGAACGCUGGCGGUAUGCUUAACACAUGCAAGUCGAACGGAAACGAUACUAGCUUGCUAGUAGGCGUCGAGUGGCGGACGGGUGAGUAACGCGUAGGAAUCUGCCUGAUAGUGGGGGAUAGCCCGAAGAAAUUCGGAUUAAUACCGCAUAAUCUAUUCGUAGUAAAGUGGGGGACUUUCGAGCCUCACGCUAUCAGAUGAGCCUGCGUAAGAUUAGCUAGUUGGUAGGGUAAAAGCCUACCAAGGCUACGAUCUUUAGCUGGUCUGAGAGGAUGAUCAGCCACAUCGGGACUGAGACACGGCCCGAACUCCUACGGGAGGCAGCAGUGGGGAAUAUUGGACAAUGGGGGCAACCCUGAUCCAGCAAUACCGCGUGUGUGAAGAAGGCCUGAGGGUUGUAAAGCACUUUCAAUUGUGAAGAAAAGUUAACGGUUAAUAACCGUUAGCCUUGACGUUAACUUUAGAAGAAGCACCGGCUAACUCCGUGCCAGCAGCCGCGGUAAUACGGAGGGUGCAAGCGUUAAUCGGAAUUACUGGGCGUAAAGCGUGCGUAGGCGGUUUAUUAAGUCAGAUGUGAAAGCCCCGGGCUUAACCUGGGAACUGCAUUUGAAACUGGUCAACUAGAGUAUGGUAGAGGAAAG